CCAAGCUCUUACAUUUGCUUUAAGUUGUGUAAACCAUUUCAUUUUGUUUUGUGUGUUUUACAAUGGCUCAUUUGAGAAAAGUCUGUUUAACUCCAUUUAUAAGGAGAGGCGGACCUUUUUGAGAAGCUAAUGGGGCAUCAUGGUGAGCUUCGUUUGGACUGAAAAUUUGGAGGUGGUUAUUCAAUGCUUUUGCACUGUUCCAAGCAAGGCACUUUAGUUUUGGGCCUUGGGAUCUAUAAAAUGAGAAGAUGACAUUCUCUCUCAUGGUGUUAGAGUGUUAAACAGUGUUAGAGUUUGGAGGAAAAUUUGAGUGUGUACCACUCUUUGAGUCGUCCCAAUUCUUGUGUCGUUUGAACCCAGACUUAGGUGUGACUCUUGUGCCCUCUACUUAGAUGUGUCAGUUUAUCUCACUUGUCUGAACAUAUCUUAUUAUUUUGUAAGACGGCACUCUAGUUCUCUUCUGCUCAGUAAUGUAAUAACGUUGUCAGGUAAUAAUAUACCUAGCUCUCAAUCUCCAGUAUGUCAGUGGGAUUCUUAUUAGUUGGUAUAAAAUCAGGGGUCACAUAGGAAGCUGGGUCUGGACUGUUACUCCAGCCUUUUGACUCCCCUGGGUCUCGUUCUCUCCUGCAUACAUGCCAUGUUGCUGGGGGUGAGGAAAAUAUUAUCAUACUGAGAUGUGCCCUAACUUAAUAGAAACUACAGUCUUGGUUCUUUCUUGAGACUCAUCAGGUUGUCAUCUUUGAGGAAUGUCGUGACUCCAGUAAGGAAUUUCUUGUUUUCAUGACCUCUGGCCAUGGAUAGCAGACUGAGCAACACGAGGGCAGGGGGCCUGCUGUCUGAAGUUUAUGUUGGGCAGGGGGCUAGGAUACCUGGCACACAGGCCAGGGUCCAGCACCAUUUUUUAUAUGGAGGAAGGAAGGAAAUGAACAGUCUCAUUGAUCUGUAGAAAAUAGGAAUGAGAAGGGGACCAGGAUUUAAAAAUUUUACUUCUGUAGGAAAGAGGAAAUUGAGGCACCUGAUUGCUCGGGCAGGUUAAGCCUAGUCUCCUAAUCACCCAGUGAACAAUAAUAAGUCAUACCCUUGAAGGUGUUGCAUGGCAGUGCCCUUCUGUUGAAAGCUAUUUUAAUUGUGGAAAAAAAAAAAUUACCCAGGUCAAGAAGUUCUUCUAAACUAAAGCAUAUCCAUUCCUAUUUUGCGGUUUUUCUGUGGCAUCAAAACUUGUCGGGAAGGUUUAGCAAAGCUGUGCUUCUAAUGAUGUGGAGAUCUCACCGGCAGCUGUGCUAAACCUCUUGAUGUAAACUAGCCACGAGUAAACGUCUGGUUGUGAAUCAUAGCAUGACCUUUCAGGGAAAACAAAACAAACAAACCACCAAACACACUAAUCAGAUUUUUUUUUUAGUAUCAGGAUGGUAAACUCUGACACUCAGCGGUUGGCCAGGCCCACUUGGAGCAGUUGAGACAACUUCCUUUCUCUGUUUCUGUUUGUGCAACACAUGGUUGUAUAUUACCUUCGAAUGCAUAUUAGGUUAAAAAAAAUUAAAGCUUUCUUCCACUGAGUUAAGGCAUAUCCUUGAUUUCCUAAUCACCAUGGAACUUUAUAUAAAUACAGAUUACUAAGUGUCACUCAAGACCUGCUGAAUCUGCAUCUCUCAGAGGGUGGGCCCCAGGAGGCUCUUCUGAAGAAUACCCAGUGAUUGUAUGAUAACCAGACUUGGAAACCACUAAAAAAACUCUGAUAUUGUAUUUUUCAUCCAUCCACCUAUUCUUAGCUAUUUAUCCAUGUCUUGAGUAGAUGAGAAUUAGUUACUCAUGGGGCAAUGGUUAUCUUAAGAAUUGAGCGUAAAAACCAGAAAGAGAACAUAAUCCGUGCCCCAUGGGGUUCACAGUCUGGCUUACAAGUUUUUCACUUUCUGCUGAGCUUUUAAAGGGUUCAAAAAUGUCCCAGAAGUCUUGGGCAGAAGAUUUUGUGUACACACGUUUUUCUUGCUUUCAUCAGAUUCUCUAAGGGGUCAGUGACCCAUAAAAGGUUAAGAACCAAGGUCUAGCACUUGUACAGCUGUUCUGAAAACAGUGGCAGAGGGCAGCAUUUCUGUUGCCACCUACAAUGUUUUUGACCUUUUGAGAGGCAAUAGCAGUUUGAGAAUUGCACCUGUUUUCUGCCCCAUUUAAAAUAUUUAAAAAGAAGAGAAAAUAGUGUAACACUUAGGUCAUGGUCAGAACAAGAUGAAGGGAUAUAGAAAGGGGCUAUUUGGUGAACUGCCUCACGUUUAAUGCCAAGGAGCCACUGACUGUAAAACAGCCAGUGAUCAGUCUGAUGGGAGAACCUUUUUAACCAGGAUAGCAGAGCCAAGUUUCACUCCAAUGUUCUUACAGUAUGUAAUUAGCUGAAUUAUAUAUAGCAGUUUUCACCCCAUGGAUGUACAUAAAGACUAACUGUCUUAUUUUUGUGGCUUUCAAUCCCCAGCAUGUCCAUUGAAUUCCUUAAUUCCAAAAUAGCUUGACCAGCUGUACUGCUGGCUCAUCCUUCCUUAGCUCCUAAAAUCCCCAAGUAACACCGUUCAUUACAGAACAGAAUUAGAUAUUAGGUCCUUCUUGAACUGCUGUAUAAGUUUUACUUAGCAUAACACUAAAACCCCUUAUGGUGGAAUAUUCUUAUCCCUAAGGAUGACUUUGUAAUUCACUUUUAAUUAAGGUUCUUCUCUUCUUUUUUUUGUGACUUCAUAUGUUUCGUUGGGGAACAAAAGUUCUUCAAAUAGUGUAGCGCUGGUGAUGCUACGUUUUAGGGUUGGAUAGAUUUGGAAGAAGAGGACAGUCAGUGGAAUUAAAUGUUAUUAAUGGGUAAAAUUCCUUGUCCAUUUAUUUGGGUGUUAUUCUUUUGGGGCUCGGAGGGAGCUAGAGCCUGCUUCACUGUCAUGGACAUCUUAAGUCUUUUGUGGCUGUUUACAUGUCGAUGUCAGAUGUGUCACUUAUUUUGAGCUUGUGUAUGUGCUGUUUUGCAUUAUUCAUUAUUCUUUUAAAAAUGGUGACUAUUUUAUCUGAGUAGAUUUUAACUUACUGGGUGGUGAUUUGGUGCUCUGAGUCUUUAUAGUCUUGCCAUGAUUUAGCAUCCUGGGUACAUAAUAGACCCUCAGUAAAUAUUUGAUAAUUGGGUGUGUUGAUUACCUUUGGGUCUUGGAUCCCCAAGAGACCAAAAGAUGGGCUAAAUCUGAAAUUCGAACUUGACGUAUGCUUUGAAAGGUGGGAAUGUAAAAAUGGAUUGUCAGGUCUGUCCCCGUAAGCUUAGGGCUUAUGUCAUAUUCUUUUAUUAUUAUUUUUUAUGUUCCUCUGAUUCAGCCCCUAGCCUGGGAACCUGGGAACCUCCAUAUGCCCAGGCAUGGCCCUAAAAAGACAAAAAGACCAAAAAAAAAAAAAAAAAGAGUGACCCUACAGAGUUUCCUGAUAGCUCAGUGGGUUAAGGAUCUAGCAUUGUCACUGCUGUGGCACAGAUUUGAUCUCUGGCCCAGAAACUUCCACGUGCCAUGGCCAUGGCCAAAAAAAAAAAAAAAAAGUGACACCAGCAAAAUCUGGAAGGAUCAUUGGAAAUUAGCAAGAAAGGUGGAAGAAUGGGGACUACUAUCUUCUAAGAAGUAUACCUUGAAAUUAUUUUUUUCUCUUCUUUCUCUCUGUCCUUUUCCUUCCCUGCCAUAGUCUUUUGUCCUCGCGUGAUUUCACUCAUCCAAAGUGGGCCAGUUGCCUUGCUACCCUGGGAUGGUUGGCGGUUGGGGGCUAUGGUAAGGGGGUUAUAGUUAAAGCUGAAUAUAAAUUGGAGAGCAAGAGAUGGUAAAGUAGUUUUGAUUUAUUGGGCUCAUUGAAUUGGGCUCUUGGCCAACUGUUUAUCUAAAUUGUGCUCUGGUGACUUUUUUGGGAAGCCUUUUGUUGUUCCGCAAACCCUUUUUUUAAUGUCCGGGGUGGGUUAAGGGCUUGGGAAACAUACACUUCCCGAAGGAGGUCCUUUUCUGUACUCUAUCUUUAAGAGGUAACAAAGCUUUACUAUAUUUUACUUCCUAUAUGUAAUUUCUCAAACCUCUGACAUCAAAAUCACCGGGAGGCUGUUACAAUAUGUAAUUUUCAUAGCCUUUUUCUCCCAGACCUGCUGACUUGGAAACUUAGCAGUAGGAUUCCUGGCUCUUGUCAAGCACUCUGUGAGAGCCACAGCCAUGACGGCAUGAAUCGCCAGUGGGUCAUUCAGAGCUUAAAGAUGAGGACUUUUAUCACGUUAGCCCCAGUAGGAUCCUGCUUGAUGACUCACCAUUUCUCACCAGUAUUACCAGCUACAUAAUUUGCAAGACCCCGCACAAAGGAAAUAUGCAGAAUUCACUAUUAAAAAAUUAUUAACAACUUAAAAGAGGGUAACGGCAGAGCGUUAAACCAAGUGCGGGGCCCUUUUUGAGCACAGGGCCUUGGAAGACUGCACAGGCUGCAAGCCUGUGAGGCUGGCCCUUCGCACUGCUUCUGUUUGCCUUCUUAAAGCGAACUGCUUAUUGCUCCUUGUGUACCACACUGUUCUUUGUCUUUGUCUCUUGGGUCUCCCUGUAUGAAAUACUGUUUUUCAUCUCUUCCCUCUUACCCCGGCUCAUCCCAGUUUUUGCAUGUAACGUAUUAGAAUCCCACACAAGUCACCACUGCAAGAUCAUGUCCUUUGAGGGUACGCUAUUCCCGAUUCUUGAAUCUCCUGCCAUUAGCUGAGGCUCUGCCACUGCUUCCUCAUAAGUUUGCUGAAUAAAAUGAUUUAACCUGAAUACUUUUAUUAAAACUUAAUUUGGUUAGGGGCCACUGGGACUACAGAUCUGGUUCAGAGUGGGGUGCUGGAGGCAGUGUUCACGAGGGACUGGGGCUGCCUGAGCCUGACUCGUGUGAGACAUUGUGGGGAACAGGGCAGAAAACAAAGUUACAACAUCUCGGGCAAGUUGUGCAUCCUCUGUGGUCUACACCUUUGGGAGCUGCAACCCUCCCUCUGACAAUCAGGGCUUCCUGUCUGGAUCUGUCGUUGACCUCUGUGUUCCUGGACACCACAGCUUUUCCUAAGCUACUUUAGAAGUUAACACUUCUUCUGUUAUCAGAACCUAUGGAAAUGUGUCUUGUGAUAGGAAGGUGACCAUUUUGGUCAGUGGUUACUAUUUGAAACCAGACAUGCCAGGAUUUUUUGAGGUAGUAUGUCCUGGAGAAUUCCCUAAAGCUGGAUGCACUUGGUAAGUGAAGCUGUGGCUCUGUCAAGGCUGAGCAUUAGGCUCUGCCUAUUACACUUAAGAGGACUGACUGUUCCUGCCUUGAGGUAACCAGAGGUCGCUAUGAAUUUGGGCCGAAGGUCUGUGAAACCUCUUCAGCUCACAGGUAGAUGAGCAGCUGGAUGUUUGGAGAAGUUAAGCAUGUUCAAGAUUGCUUCAGAUAUUUGAUGCCUGAGUUGGCACUGAAAUCCGUGAUUUUUUCUCCUCCUGAGGCCUCAAUAAAUAUUUGUUCAAAGAUUAUUCUAGUCUUUUCUUUGAAGAUUAUCUUCAGGCUUUGACCGAUGGAGUUAAUGGAAUGAAAUAUGUAUUUCCCCUUUAAAAUUGUUUUGAGGAGUUAAAGUGAACAGAUUUUCUAAAACAGUGCUGUCCAAUUGCAAUAUGUGAGUCACACAUGCACUUUAAAAGUCUUUAGUGGCCACAUUAAAAAGUAAAAAAAGGGAGUUCCCUGGUGGUGCAGUGGGUUAGGUGCCUGGUGUUGUCAUUACUGUGGCUCUGUUUGCUGCUGUGGCAUGGGUUCAGUCCCUGGCCCUUGAACUUCUGUAUGCUGUGCAUGUGAAACAAGUGAAAUUAAUUGAAAUAACUUAACCCACUCUAUAAAAAAUUUAAUAACUUUAAUACAUAUGCAUUUAUGCAUAUAUUGAUAUAUUCCCAUGUAUUGGUAUAGAAACAUUGAGAUAAUUACUUAAUUUUUUCCCAGUGUAGUUGCUGUAUUGGACAGUGUGGGUCUAAAAUAUAUUAGCUUAUACAUUUAAUUUUAAUUUUCUCUUCUUUUUUAGGCUGCUUCUUAACCUGUACUAGUUAGCAUGUGAGCUUGUUACUGGCUCACAUGCUAACUGAUGAUACAGCUCAGAAGACAAGGAUUCGGGAUGUAACCUGACUUAAUUUUAGAGUGCCAGUUGGAGAGCUCAGGUGAACUCAGAAUGCUCCAACGUGGAUUCGGUGUAGAUCUCUGACUUUGUGCUGGGCAUCUGGAGGGUGCCCUCGCUCUCAGCCUCCUAGGGGGCAGAAACUACCUUGUAUGAAAACGUGCUGCUGUGUAAAUUUAAGCUGUACAGCAUAGUGAUAUGACUUAUAUACAUCAUGAAAUGAUUAACCAUGCUGAGUUUAGUGAGCAUCCAUCAUCUCACACAGAUACAAAAUUAAAGAAAUAGAAAAGAAAAAAAAAAAAAAAAAAAAAAAAAAA
Molecule: long non-coding RNA, 6447 nt
Filed under: Sus scrofa (pig)
Lineage: Eukaryota; Metazoa; Chordata; Mammalia; Artiodactyla; Suidae
Description: lncRNA (ENSSSCG00055006527.1)
Source: RNAcentral